RNAcentral lists this long non-coding RNA (315 nucleotides) under Solanum tuberosum (potato). Its description in RNAcentral is "long non-coding RNA (STUB_LNC010281)". The record is from RNAcentral. Lineage: Eukaryota; Viridiplantae; Streptophyta; Magnoliopsida; Solanales; Solanaceae.
GUGCAUUUCUGUUUGUGAGCUGAGCAAUUAUCGAAAAUAGAUUCUCUACGUUCACAAGUUAGGUGUGAUCUUUUGUUUUUUUAACUAUGUGCAUUUCUGUUUGUGAGCUGAGCAAUUAUCGAAAAUAGAUUCUCUAAGUUCACAAGUUAGGUGUGAUGCUGUGUAUACACCACUCUCUUCUGACUUAUAUUGUUGUUAGGUAUUUGCACUUUGCCUAUCAGUACUCGAUCACAGAAUAUUGUAUUAUUCAUGAUUUAUGUUUUAUCCUUUAUUUGUUUAGAGAAAUCUAUGCCAAAGCUCUAUUUGUUUCCUGCC